RNAcentral lists this ribosomal RNA (241 nucleotides) under uncultured Staphylococcus sp. Its description in RNAcentral is "partial 16S ribosomal RNA". It matches the Rfam family "Bacterial small subunit ribosomal RNA", at positions 99 to 334 of the family's 1533-position model. The record is from RNAcentral. Lineage: Bacteria; Bacillati; Bacillota; Bacilli; Caryophanales; Staphylococcaceae.
CGGACGGGUGAGUAACACGUGGAUAACCUACCUAUAAGACUGGGAUAACUACGGGAAACCGGAGCUAAUACCGGAUAAUAUAUUGAACCGCAUGGUUCAAUAGUGAAAGACGGUUUUGCUGUCACUUAUAGAUGGAUCCGCGCCGCAUUAGCUAGUUGGUAAGGUAACGGACUACCAAGGCAACGAUGCGUAGCCGACCUGAGAGGGUGAUCGGCCACACUGGAACUGAGACACGGUCCAG